GUCGUCGUUUUAAAUAAAAUGUUCGCAGUAAUAUAUCGAUUUGGAUCCAGACCCGAUCCAACAUCCGACCCCAACCCAGCUUAUUUAAUUUUGUUGGUAAAACUUAUUGUUUUUAUUUAUCAAUAAUACUAUUUACUUUUUAAAGGGCGUUUAUUUUAUAUGAUUAAUAAAAUAGAUAUUAAUUGAGUAUUUUUAUCCUCAACAAUAAGAUUAC
RNAcentral lists this long non-coding RNA (214 nucleotides) under Salvia miltiorrhiza (redroot sage). RNAcentral describes it as "long non-coding RNA (SMIL_LNC003565)". The record is from RNAcentral. Lineage: Eukaryota; Viridiplantae; Streptophyta; Magnoliopsida; Lamiales; Lamiaceae.